Molecule: ribosomal RNA, 506 nt
Filed under: uncultured bacterium
Lineage: Bacteria
Description: partial 16S ribosomal RNA
Rfam family: Bacterial small subunit ribosomal RNA
Source: RNAcentral
AGUGAACGCUGGCGGUAGGCCUAACACAUGCAAGUCGAACGGCAGCACAGGAGAGCUUGCUCUCUGGGUGGCGAGUGGCGGACGGGUGAGGAAUACACCGGAAUCUACUCUGUCGUGGGGGAUAACGUAGGGAAACUUACGCUAACACCGCAUACGCCCUACAGGUGAAAGCAGGGGAUCUUCGGACCUUGCGCGAUUGAAUGAGCCGAUGUCGGGUUAGAGAGUUGGCGCGGUAAAGGCCCACCAAGGCGACGAUCCGUAGCUGGUCUGAGAGGAUGAUCAGCCACACUGGAACUGAGACACGGGCCAGACUCCUACGGGAGGCAGCAGUGGGGAAUAUUGGACAAUGGGCGCAAGCCUGAUCCAGCCAUACCGCAUGGGUGAAGAAGGCCUUCGGGUUGUAAAGCCCUUUUGUAGGGAAAGAAAUCCAGCUGGUUAAUACCCGGUUGGGAUGACGGUACCCAAAGAAUAGGCACCGGCUAACUUCGUGCCAGCAGCCGCCGCCG